GAAACUGGAGCUAAUACCGAAUAAGACCACGAGGUCUCCGGACCUUGCGGAAAAAGGUGGCCUCUUCUUGAAAGCUAUCGCCUGUUGAUGAGCCCGCGUCCCAUUAGCUUGUUGGUGAGAUAAAAGCUCACCAAGGCAUCGAUGGGUAGCUGGUCUGAGAGGAUGAUCAGCCACACUGGAACUGAGACACGGUCCAGACUCCUACGGGAGGCAGCAGUCGGGAAUCUUGCACAAUGGGCGAAAGCCUGAUGCAGCAACGCCGCGUGAGGGAUGAAGGCCCUCGGGUCGUAAACCUCUGUCGGAAGGGAAGAAAAUAUUUCGGGCCAAUACCCCGGAGUAUCGACGGUACCUUCAAAGGAAGCGCCGGCUAACUCCGUGCCAGCAGCCGCGGUAAUACGGAGGGCGCGAGCGUUAUUCGGAAUCAUUGGGCGUAAAGCGCGUGUAGGCGGCUGGGCAAGUCGGAUGUGAAAGCCCGGGGCUCAACCCCGG
RNAcentral lists this ribosomal RNA (489 nucleotides) under uncultured bacterium. RNAcentral's name for it is "bacterial SSU rRNA". It matches the Rfam family "Bacterial small subunit ribosomal RNA", at positions 153 to 618 of the family's 1533-position model. The record is from RNAcentral.